RNAcentral lists this ribosomal RNA (1239 nucleotides) under Psilochasmus oxyurus. RNAcentral describes it as "eukaryotic LSU rRNA". It matches the Rfam family "Eukaryotic large subunit ribosomal RNA", at positions 87 to 925 of the family's 3401-position model. The record is from RNAcentral. Lineage: Eukaryota; Metazoa; Platyhelminthes; Trematoda; Plagiorchiida; Psilostomidae.
CGGCGAGUGAACAGGGAUAAGCCCAGCACCGAAGCCUGUGGUCGUUUGGCCUCUAGGCAAUGUGGUGUUCAGGUUAGCUCGCGGAGGUGCUGCUCCACCCUAAGUCCUAUAAUGAGUAAGGUUACUCGGACGUGGCCCACAGAGGGUGAAAGGCCCGUGGGGGUGGAGACUCAGAUUGGCCAGUAUCUCCCUGAGUCGACCUUGGAGUCGGGUUGUUUGUGAAUGCAGCCCAAAGUGGGUGGUAAACUCCAUCCAAGGCUAAAUACUAACACGAGUCCGAUAGCGAACAAGUACCGUGAGGGAAAGUUGAAAAGUACUUUGAAGAGAGAGUAAACAGUGCGUGAAACCGCUCAGAGGUAAACGGGUGGAGUUGAACUGCAAGCUCUGGGAAUUCAACCGGUGAGCAUGGCAUGAGCUGGGUAUAUUGGUUGACAGUCUGGGUCUGCUUAGCUGCAGGUCUUCGCCUAUCGGUGGGGAUGCGCGUAUCACUUGUCAAGUGUUGUGCGCCCGGAUUGUAUCGGACCAGCUUGCUGGUGCACUUUCUCAGAGUGGUCACCACGACCGGCGUUUCUGUCUGGCUGUUGUAGUUAAACCGGCCUUGUAGAGUCCUUGUGGCUUUGCUCGGUCGGGAUGGCAGGUAGCCCGUUAUGUACUUCGGUGUGUUUCGGGUGUAAUAGCUGACUGCAUCAGUUCUGUACGGUACGUCGGAGAACGGCGGCUUGUUGUGCGUGCGCGCUCGCUCAGUGUGCUGGCGGUGUUGAGUCUGGUUGCCGUGUUGCUCGUAAAUACAAGCCCGGUGAUGGCUCGGUAUCGUUCGGUAUGCAGUCGUGUGCGUGGCACUUUGAAGGGCCAAUAGUCUGUGGUGUAGUGGUAGACUAUCCACCUGACCCGUCUUGAAACACGGACCAAGGAGAGUAACAUGUGCGCGAGUCAUUGGGCGGUACGAAACCCAAAGGCGCAGUGAAAGUAAAGGUUCGGCUUGUCCGGACUGAGGUGAGAUCCUGUCGUUUCUCACGCAUGGUACUACCAAGCAUCGAGCGGCAGGCGCAUCACCGGCCCGUCCCAUGGCGUAGAAGCGGCCUUGUGCUGGCUCAUCGUCGGGGCGGAGCAUGAGCGUACAUGUUGAGACCCGAAAGAUGGUGAACUAUGCUUGCGCAGGUUGAAGCCAGAGGAAACUCUGGUGGAGGACCGUAGCGAUUCUGACGUGCAAAUCGAUCGUCAAACGUGAGUAUAGGGGCG